UGUGGUGCGCCGGGCUCUCAGCCUGUGGUGCGCCACGCGAAACCCCACCCUUGACUAUUCGACCACUUGUUGCUUUGGCGGGCCCGCCGCAAGGCCGCCGGGAGCUUCGGCAUCUGGCCCGUGUCCGCCAGAGACAAUUUGAACCCUUUUGUGAAAUUGACUGUCUGAGUUUAUGAUUAAAUCAUUAAAACUUUCAACAAUGGAUCUCUUGGUUCCGGCAUCGAUGAAGAACGCAGCGAAAUGCGAUAAGUAAUGUGAAUUGCAGAAUUCCGUGAAUCAUCGAAUCUUUGAACGCACAUUGCGCCCUCUGGUAUUCCGGAGGGCAUGCCUGUCCGAGCGUCAUUGCAACCUUCAAGCACGGCUUGUGUGUUGGGCUUUGUUUUCUGAAGCGAAAACAGGCCCGAAAGGCAGUGGCGGCGCCCGAUCCGGUGCCCGAGCGUAUGGGAACUCUCUCCGCUCAAUGUGGCCCGGCUGGCGCUGGUCAGACCAUUAUU
RNAcentral lists this ribosomal RNA (494 nucleotides) under Malbranchea sp. IBL/2011/9/1/4. Its description in RNAcentral is "eukaryotic LSU rRNA". The stretch from base 189 to 342 matches the Rfam family "5.8S ribosomal RNA". Lineage: Eukaryota; Fungi; Ascomycota; Eurotiomycetes; Onygenales; Malbrancheaceae. The record is from RNAcentral.